RNAcentral lists this ribosomal RNA (253 nucleotides) under uncultured prokaryote. Its description in RNAcentral is "partial 16S ribosomal RNA". It matches the Rfam family "Bacterial small subunit ribosomal RNA", at positions 524 to 776 of the family's 1533-position model. The record is from RNAcentral.
GACGAACCGUGCAAACGUUGUUCGGAUUCACUGGGCUUAAAGGGCGCGUAGGCGGGUGGUCAAGUCAGGGGUGAAAUCUUUCAGCUUAACUGGAAAAUAGCUUCUGAUACUGGCCGUCUUGAGGGAGGUAGGGGCAUGUGGAACUUCCGGUGGAGCGGUGAAAUGCGUAGAUAUCGGAAGGAACGCCGGUGGCGAAAGCGACGUGCUGGACCUUUUCUGACGCUGAGGCGCGAAAGCCAGGGGAGCAAACGGG